UAGGGAAUAUUGGACAAUGGGGGCAACCCUGAUCCAGCCAUGCCGCGUGAGUGAAGAAGACCCUCGGGUUGUAAAGCUCUUUUGUCCGGAAAGAAAAGCAUUCGGUGAAUACCCGGAUGUUCUGACGGUACCGGAAGAAUAAGCACCGGCUAACUUCGUGCCAGCAGCCGCGGUAAUACGAAGGGUGCAAGCGUUACUCGGAAUUACUGGGCGUAAAGCGUGCGUAGGUGGUUGUUUAAGUCUGAUGUGAAAGCCCUGGGCUCAACCUGGGAAUGGCAUUGGAAACUGGGCAGCUAGAGUGCGGUAGAGGGUAGUGGAAUUCCCGGUGUAGCAGUGAAAUGCGUAGAGAUCGGGAGGAACAUCUGUGGCGAAGGCGACUGCCUGGACCAGCACUGACACUGAGGCACGAAAGCGUGGGGAGCAAACA
This 427-nucleotide ribosomal RNA is filed under the name uncultured bacterium. Its description in RNAcentral is "bacterial SSU rRNA". It matches the Rfam family "Bacterial small subunit ribosomal RNA", at positions 355 to 774 of the family's 1533-position model. The record is from RNAcentral.